UGGGGUGGGUUGAAAAGCCUGGCCCAAGGGACAAAACCGUGCGGGCCUGCGUGGCCCAAAGCGGACAAUACCUACCAAGGUGGGCUGACCAUGACAUUUGGUAUCAGAGCCAAGCCUUGUUCCUCUGGCCGGUGGUGGGGCAAACCUCAGCGUGGGCGCUGAGUCCCUAAGGGGGGGUGAGCGGUGGCUGCAGAGAGGCAGUGCACUCACCUUAGG
Molecule: long non-coding RNA, 216 nt
Filed under: Jatropha curcas
Lineage: Eukaryota; Viridiplantae; Streptophyta; Magnoliopsida; Malpighiales; Euphorbiaceae
Description: long non-coding RNA (JCUR_LNC000800)
Source: RNAcentral